CGGGUGAGUAACACGUGGGUAACCUGCCUGUAAGACUGGGAUAACUCCGGGAAACCGGGGCUAAUACCGGAUAAGUUUUUCCUUCGCAUGGAGGAAAAAUAAAAGAUGGCUUUUGCUAUCACUUACAGAUGGACCCGCGGCGCAUUAGCUAGUUGGUGCGGGUAAUGGCCCACCAAGGCAACGAUGCGUAGCCGACCUGAGAGGGUGAUCGGCCACAUUGGGACUGAGACACGGCCCAAACUCCUACGGGAGGCAGCAGUAGGGAAUCUUCCGCAAUGGACGAAAGUCUGACGGAGCAACGCCGCGUGAGUGAAGAAGGUUUUCGGAUCGUAAAACUCUGUUGUCAGGGAAGAACAAGUGCUGUUCGAACAGGGCGGCACCUUGACGGUACCUGACCAGAAAGCCACGGCUAACUACGUGCCAGCAGCCGCGGUAAUACGUAGGUGGCAAGCGUUGUCCGGAAUUAUUGGGCGUAAAGCGCGCGCAGGCGGCUUCUUAAGUCUGAUGUGAAAUCUUGCGGCUCAACCGCAAGCGGUCAUUGGAAACUGGGAGGCUUGAGUGCAGAAGAGGAGAGUGGAAUUCCACGUGUAGCGGUGAAAUGCGUAGAGAUGUGGAGGAACACCAGUGGCGAAGG
This 634-nucleotide ribosomal RNA is filed under the name Bacillus sp. CT3(2014). RNAcentral's name for it is "bacterial SSU rRNA". It matches the Rfam family "Bacterial small subunit ribosomal RNA", at positions 103 to 721 of the family's 1533-position model. Lineage: Bacteria; Bacillati; Bacillota; Bacilli; Caryophanales; Bacillaceae. The record is from RNAcentral.